RNAcentral lists this long non-coding RNA (449 nucleotides) under Anas platyrhynchos platyrhynchos (common mallard). RNAcentral's name for it is "lncRNA (ENSAPLG00000023054.1)". The record is from RNAcentral. Lineage: Eukaryota; Metazoa; Chordata; Aves; Anseriformes; Anatidae.
AGCAAACUUUGGUUUGCACUAGAUCCCAGGCAGGCUCUUGGGGAUCCUCUACACAAGGACCGGGCUAUCACUGACCUCUUAACCUGUGACAUCGUGUCACCUUCAGAGACAUUUGUGUCCCCAGAGGCUCAGCAUUGCCAGAGCAGCAGGAAAGUGGGGCACAUCUUGCGUUGGAAGCAUUUAGCAGAGCCUUCCCGAUUGUUCUUGGAGCGACAUCAGACAAGAGUAGUACAUAAGUGUGUGAGAAACCAGAAGAAAGAGAAGCAGAAGGCCCUAAACAACAACAAGUUAACACCAUGAGAGUCUGGAUGCUGGACAUGCAGAAAGAAAGUGAUCAGUGACAGUCAAUGAAGUGGUAAGUGCCAUGCUUUUGCUUGCAGUACUGAGAAUUUAACAGCUGGUACCCAGCAGUUGGGUCAUCAGAUUAGCAAUACACUGCCUUCAGAGAU